Molecule: long non-coding RNA, 574 nt
Organism: Chinchilla lanigera (long-tailed chinchilla)
Lineage: Eukaryota; Metazoa; Chordata; Mammalia; Rodentia; Chinchillidae
Source: Ensembl
AAAGGAGAAAGGGUAGAACUCAUUCUUUAACCAUUCUACCUACAGUUGGGAAGAUGUGUGGGAGGAAUUUAGAGCCACCCUGGAGUCAGCGAGGUCUGAACCCAGUAGAAGGAUACUUUAACUUGGAGAACACUUUGAAACAGUUUAAGAAUUUCUACUCAGACAGCUUCUCUGAGACCUGGAACAAGACAUGUGGAAAACAGUAACUUAGCAAAGAGAAAAAAAGUAGAGCUCUGGGAAUGAAGAAUGAACUGAUAAGAAAACUAGAAGCUACAGAGAAACUAAGGGAACUACAGAUAUUGUAGAGAAAAUUAUAAAGCAGUCUGGACUGCUAAUCCCAGGUCCUGGGGAUGAGGUGUUGUCUCCACAAACACAAGAUAUGUUCAGAAAGGUCAGAAGCCCCAAGAAGAAACCACAGGCCAGCCCACUAGCCCAACAAAACACAUGGGUAAACUGCAAAUAGAGCAUGAGGUUUUACUCUGAAAAUUAUUUCCUCCACAUAACAGGAUAAAGUUGGAGAAUAAAUUCACUGCAGUGUCUGCUACACUUAGGGGCAAUAUAAUCAGAAGCAACU